CAGAGGAUAGUUUAAUGAAAAUAUUAGUUUUGGGGAUUAAUGAUAGGGAGAAGUCCUUUUCUCUGA
This 66-nucleotide transfer RNA is filed under the name Neoperla sp. FS-2017. RNAcentral's name for it is "tRNA-Pro". Lineage: Eukaryota; Metazoa; Arthropoda; Insecta; Plecoptera; Perlidae. The record is from RNAcentral.